AUAAGAAGUCACUGUGAGGAAAUGAAAGGAAGCAUAAAGACGAACGGACGACGAUAAACUCCUAAUAAGAAAAGGGUGUUAAAAAAAUAGAGGAAGUGCUGAAGUGAAGGAAAAAGACAGACAAGAGCCGUGAGAGAAUGAGAGAGAAAAAGAAGCCAUGCAAAUCGAGCUGUUAUUAGGCAGAUAGGAUUUCCCACCUUUGUAAAUCUCUCUAUCCCAAAUAAACUGGGACGUACAUGGAGUAAAAGCUGCACAGUUGGAUAAAUAGUAUUGUUACUGUGGAAAAAAAAGUCUAAACAUUUUUAUUUAUUUUCUCAUUUUAUUUUAUUUAUUAUUUGCUUAUAAAAACUGAAAUGCUGAAUUUGGGUCAAAAUGCAAUACAAUCCACUUUGAAAUCAAACCUUCUCUGUUACGUUGCGUUUCUUUGUGAGGAAGUGACAAGUGACAAAAUUCACAGUAACUGUAGGCUUCAUCAGUGCAAAGUCACUACAACAGGGCAUCAGCAUUGGCAUGUAGACACCCUGCACAGUGCCAGAUUGGGAAGCAAUAGGUCUGCAAGGCCUCCUACCUCCCUGCCACCUGACCCUCAGGAACUAUGAUGCACACAGACCAGAUACACUGGUUGCAGAUUCCUGCACUGUAAGGACCAUGUUUCUUCUAGGCAGUGCAAGAUAUCCAUUUUGAACAAAGUAUUGAAUACAGGAAGCAAGCAUGAAGAAAUUCUGCUGAUUCUCCAAGACUGGAGUGCCGGCUAAUAUUGCACUCGUGACCCAGUAUCAUUGUAAAA
Long non-coding RNA from Tachysurus fulvidraco (yellow catfish), 787 nucleotides. RefSeq lists it as uncharacterized. The record is from RefSeq and is a predicted model, not a curated record. The transcript is spliced from 3 exons. NCBI's taxonomy places the organism in Eukaryota, Metazoa, Chordata, Actinopteri, Siluriformes, Bagridae.